RNAcentral lists this unclassified non-coding RNA (765 nucleotides) under Bombus terrestris (buff-tailed bumblebee). Its description in RNAcentral is "misc RNA ENSBTSG00005036190.1". Lineage: Eukaryota; Metazoa; Arthropoda; Insecta; Hymenoptera; Apidae. The record is from RNAcentral.
CUUCGACAGAAGAUUCUGUUUUCAGACAUCGACAAGAUCCUCCUCGUUUUGCAGUGCUUUUACCAGCUGUUCCUCCAGGAAAUGAUCUUUAUACCUAUUCCGAUUCUUCGAGAACGCGAGUUUAUUCCAUGUUUAACCCGCUCAUGCUUUUUUUAGACGCGAAUAUAUGUAGCUAAACGCUCGUAAAACAUCAGCAGUGACGUGAUUUGAUUUGUACGACGGAUGGAAUAAACACUGCGAAUGAUAGGUAGUUCGUUUGUUCAACGCGUUCCAUCGUCGCGCAAUCGUUUCUUGAAUAUCGUGUGCUCCUCGUGAGUACUUGGUCUGAUUCUAGCGGCAUCGAGGAUUCUAGACAUACGACUGGAGUAUUUGGUCCCACGCGAAGAGUCGAAUGGCGACGAGGAAGUAGAAUCGUCUUUGGAGUUGCUUUUAUUUCUUGGAUAAAUUUCGGUUGCUGUUCCCAGUUUGAGGAAGAUGUGCUGGGAUCUCGUCCAUCUGCUUCCGAACUGAAUAAUAGAAAAAUGAAAUUAAGCAUCAACAGCAAAAGUGGAUUGGGCUACAUCUUUUCUUACAGCAUCUAAUGAUGCGCUGGUGGACUCAUUGGCGAAGGUUUUUGGAAAAUGGUACGUGAGACACGUUCCGCAUAAAAGUUUCCGUAUGAUCUAAAGGAAAGAUCCAAGAGAUCUAAUUGAGCAAAUUAAAAAUCCAGUUGCAGCUCACUGUUGACACUGUAUGUCUUUGUCAUUGAAUAUUUCGUCAUAUAAA